Molecule: ribosomal RNA, 884 nt
Filed under: uncultured marine group I thaumarchaeote
Lineage: Archaea; Thermoproteati; Nitrososphaerota
Description: SSU rRNA
Rfam family: Archaeal small subunit ribosomal RNA
Source: RNAcentral
GCCGGACCUGACUGCUAUCGGAUUGAUACUAAGCCAUGCGAGUCUUUGUAGUAAUACAAGGCAGACGGCUCAGUAACACGUAGUCAACCUACCCUAUGGACAAGAAUAAUCUCGGGAAACUGGGCAUAAUUCUUGAUAGAUCAUAAUGCCUGGAAUGGUUUAUGGUUAAAAUGAUUCGUCGCCAUAGGAUGGGACUGCGGCCUAUCAGCUUGUUGGUGAGGUAAUGGCCCACCAAGGCGAUUACAGGUACGGGCUCUGAGAGGAGAAGCCCGGAGAUGGGUACUGAGACACGGACCCAGGCCCUAUGGGGCGCAGCAGGCGAGAAAACUUUGCAAUGUGCGAAAGCACGACAAGGUUAAUCCGAGUGAUUUCUGCUAAAGAAAUCUUUUGCCAGUCAUAAAACCACUGGUGAAUAAGGGGUGGGCAAGUUCUGGUGUCAGCCGCCGCGGUAAAACCAGCACCUCAAGUGGUCAGGAUGAUUAUUGGGCCUAAAGCAUCCGUAGCCGGCUUUGUAAGUUUUCGGUUAAAUCCAUGUGCUCAACGCAUGGGCUGCCGAAAAUACUGCAUGGCUAGGGAGUGGGAGAGGUAGACGGUACUCAGUAGGAAGGGGUAAAAUCCUUUGAUCUAUUGAUGACCACCUGUGGCGAAGGCGGUCUACCAGAACACGUUCGACGGUGAGGGAUGAAAGCUGGGGGAGCAAACCGGAUUAGAUACCCGGGUAGUCCCAGCUGUAAACGAUGCAGACUCGAUGAUGCAUUGGCAUAAUAGCCAGUGCAGUGUCGCAGGGAAGCCGUUAAGUCUGCCGCCUGGGAAGUACGUACGCAAGUAUGAAACUUAAAGGAAUUGGCGGGGGAGCACCACAAGGGGUGAAGCCUGCGGUCAAU